Molecule: long non-coding RNA, 468 nt
Organism: Salvelinus fontinalis (brook trout)
Lineage: Eukaryota; Metazoa; Chordata; Actinopteri; Salmoniformes; Salmonidae
Exons: 5
Source: RefSeq, a predicted model, not a curated record
CUCCCCCCUCCCCCUCUACCCCCAUCUCUCCUACCACACUUUCCAAGAUACGGACUCUGCCUCUCCUCCUCCCUCUGUCUGUCUCUGGGUUGGUGGCUGCUCUCUCCAUCUCUCUGAUCAUUCUACUGGUCCUGUUCUGCAAGAGGAACAAAGAUGUAGCAGCUGAACCCAGAGAUGUUACGUAUGCUGACGUCAGAAUCAUACAGGACCCAGAACCCAGGAGAAGGAGAGAGAAGUCUCCAGGAGCUGAUCCAGUCUACUCUGCAGUGAAGACCUCCAACACCACAGUUCCAGGUGGAUCUGGUCCAGGUGAUGUGACCUAUGCUGACAUCAACCACACAGAGAAGAGACAACACAACAGGAGGAGAGAGAACGUCGUUCCAGACCCUGUCUACUCAGCAGUGAAGACAGACAGACAGAGAAACAGGUAGAACUGUAUCUGGAUCCAGGGACGUAAUGUACAGAGAG